This 821-nucleotide ribosomal RNA is filed under the name uncultured organism. RNAcentral describes it as "SSU rRNA". It matches the Rfam family "Bacterial small subunit ribosomal RNA", at positions 50 to 900 of the family's 1533-position model. The record is from RNAcentral.
AACACAUGCAAGUCGAGCGAUUUACUUCCGUCAAGAGCGGCGGACGGGUGAGUAACGCGUGGGUAACCUGCCCUGUACACGCGGAUAACAUACCGAAAGGUAUGCUAAUACGGGAUAAUAUAAGAGAGUCGCAUGGCUUUCUUAUCAAAGCUCCGGCGGUACAGGAUGGACCCGCGUCUGAUUAGCUAGUUGGUAAGGUAAUGGCUUACCAAGGCGACGAUCAGUAGCCGACCUGAGAGGGUGAUCGGCCACAUUGGAACUGAGACACGGUCCAAACUCCUACGGGAGGCAGCAGUGGGGAAUAUUGCACAAUGGGCGAAAGCCUGAUGCAGCAACGCCGCGUGAGCGAUGAAGGCCUUCGGGUCGUAAAGCUCUGUCCUCAAGGAAGAUAAUGACGGUACUUGAGGAGGAAGCCCCGGCUAACUACGUGCCAGCAGCCGCGGUAAUACGUAGGGGGCUAGCGUUAUCCGGAAUUACUGGGCGUAAAGGGUGCGUAGGUGGUUUCUUAAGUCAGAAGUGAAAGGCUACGGCUCAACCGUAGUAAGCUUUUGAAACUGAGAAACUUGAGUGCAGGAGAGGAGAGUAGAAUUCCUAGUGUAGCGGUGAAAUGCGUAGAUAUUAGGAGGAAUACCAGUUGCGAAGGCGGCUCUCUGGACUGUAACUGACACUGAGGCACGAAAGCGUGGGGAGCAAACAGGAUUAGAUACCCUGGUAGUCCACGCCGUAAACGAUGAGUACUAGCUGUCGGAGGUUACCCCCUUCGGUGGCGCAGCUAACGCAUUAAGUACUCCGCCUGUGAAGUACGCUCGCAAGAGUGAAAC